UAGAGAGGGGGCGAGCGUUGUCCGGAGUCACUGGGCGUAAAGCGCGCGCAUGCGGCAACCUUAGUGUCGUGUGAAAGCCCCCUGCUCAACCGGGGGAGGCCAUGGCAAACUGGGUCGCUCGAGCUGCGGAGAGGCCCCUCGAAUUGCCGGUGUAGCGGUGAAAUGCGUAGAGAUCGGCAGGAAGACCAAUGGGGAAGCCAGGGUGCUGGCCGCAGGCUGACGCUGAGGCGCGACAGCGUGGGGAGCAAACCGG
Molecule: ribosomal RNA, 253 nt
Filed under: uncultured bacterium
Lineage: Bacteria
Description: partial 16S ribosomal RNA
Rfam family: Bacterial small subunit ribosomal RNA
Source: RNAcentral